GAACAAGAUGAUGAUCGUGAUUGUGUUUCCCUAUUGGUUUGAUUGCCAAAAUGAUGGCUUCAUACUUCUUGUUGCUCUAUCUGAGCGUUC
Camellia sinensis is the source of this 90-nucleotide small nucleolar RNA. RefSeq annotates it as small nucleolar RNA Z102/R77. The record is from RefSeq and is a predicted model, not a curated record. NCBI's taxonomy places the organism in Eukaryota, Viridiplantae, Streptophyta, Magnoliopsida, Ericales, Theaceae.